GGUUCUGUGGUGUAAUGGUUAGCACGCAGAGUUGCUUCACGAUAGUAUCUGCUGGUACUGAAGUUUAUCUGGAAAGGUCCCAGUUCGACUCUGCGCAGAACCG
Tricharina praecox is the source of this 103-nucleotide non-coding RNA. NCBI's taxonomy places the organism in Eukaryota, Fungi, Ascomycota, Pezizomycetes, Pezizales, Pyronemataceae. The record is from the annotation of a RefSeq genome assembly.